RNAcentral lists this ribosomal RNA (253 nucleotides) under uncultured bacterium. Its description in RNAcentral is "partial 16S ribosomal RNA". It matches the Rfam family "Bacterial small subunit ribosomal RNA", at positions 524 to 776 of the family's 1533-position model. The record is from RNAcentral.
UACGUAGGGGGCAAGCGUUGUCCGGAUUUAUUGGGCGUAAAGAGCGUGUAGGCGGCUUUACAGGUCCGUUGUGAAAACUCGAGGCUCAACCUCGAGACGCCGGUGGAAACCGUAAAGCUAGAGUCCGGAAGAGGAGAGUGGAAUUCCUGGUGUAGCGGUGAAAUGCGCAGAUAUCAGGAAGAACACCCGUGGAGAAGGCGGCUCUCUGGGACGGUACUGACGCUGAGACGCGAAAGCGUGGGGAGCGAACAGG